This 449-nucleotide ribosomal RNA is filed under the name uncultured bacterium. RNAcentral's name for it is "partial 16S ribosomal RNA". It matches the Rfam family "Bacterial small subunit ribosomal RNA", at positions 29 to 523 of the family's 1533-position model. The record is from RNAcentral.
AACGAACGCUGGCGGCAGGCCUAACACAUGCAAGUCGAGCGAGACCUUCGGGUCUAGCGGCGGACGGGUGAGUAACGCGUGGGAAUAUGCCCUUCUCUACGGAAUAGCCUCGGGAAACUGGGAGUAAUACCGUAUACGCCCUUUGGGGGAAAGAUUUAUCGGAGAAGGAUUAGCCCGCGUUGGAUUAGGUAGUUGGUGGGGUAAUGGCCUACCAAGCCGACGAUCCAUAGCUGGUUUGAGAGGAUGAUCAGCCACACUGGGACUGAGACACGGCCCAGACUCCUACGGGAGGCAGCAGGGGGGAAUCUUAGACAAUGGGCGCAAGCCUGAUCUAGCCAUGCCGCGUGAUUGAUGAAGGCCUUAGGGUUGUAAAGAUCUUUCAGCUGGGAAGAUAAUGACGGUACCAGCAGAAGAAGCCCCGGCUAACUCCGUGCCAGCCGCCGCAGUAA